UCCCCCGCCGGGCGGCUGGGCUGUGUGCGGCGGCGGCGGCGGCGGCGGCCGCCGAGGGGGAUGGAGCGAUCGCCGAGCCGGGUCAGAGGUGAACAAUGACCCUAGUUGACAAAGCUUCUGAAUCUUCAGACUCAUCAACCUGUCAGAACCAGCCUGGCAGUUCUGAGGCAGUCCCACCUGGAGACAUGGAUGCAGGUUCUGCCAGCUGGGGUGCUGUGUCUUCAUUAAAUGAUGUUUCAAAUCACACGCUUUCUUUAGGACCAGUACCUGGUGCUGUAGUUUAUUCAAGUUCAUCUGUACCUGAAAAAUCAAAACCAUCACCACAAAAGGAUCAAGCCCUAGGUGAUGGCAUUGCUCCUCCACAAAAAAUUCUUUUCCCAUCUGAGAAGAUUUGUCUUAAGUGGCAGCAAACUCAUAGAGUAGGAGCUGGGCUCCAGAAUUUGGGCAAUACCUGUUUUGCCAACGCAGCGCUGCAGUGUUUAACUUACACGCCACCUCUUGCCAACUACAUGCUAUCACACGAACACUCCAAGACAUGUCAUGCAGAAGGAUUUUGUAUGAUGUGUACAAUGCAAGCUCAUAUUACCCAGGCGCUCAGUAAUCCUGGGGAUGUUAUUAAACCGAUGUUUGUCAUUAAUGAGAUGCGGCGCAUAGCUAGGCACUUCCGUUUUGGAAGCCAAGAAGAUGCCCAUGAAUUCCUUCAGCACACUGUUGAUGCUAUGCAAAAAGCAUGCUUGAAUGGCAGCAACAAAUUAGACAGACACACCCAGGCUACCACACUGGUUUGUCAGAUAUUUGGAGGAUACCUAAGAUCUAGAGUCAAAUGUUUAAAUUGCAAAGGUGUGUCAGAUACUUUUGAUCCAUAUCUCGAUAUAACAUUGGAGAUAAAGGCUGCUCAGAGCGUUAACAAGGCAUUGGAGCAGUUUGUGAAGCCGGAACAGCUCGAUGGAGAAAACUCGUACAAGUGCAGCAAGUGUAAAAAGAUGGUUCCAGCUUCGAAGAGGUUCACUAUACACAGAUCUUCUAACGUUCUUACACUUUCUCUGAAACGUUUUGCAAAUUUUACUGGUGGAAAAAUUGCUAAGGAUGUGAAAUAUCCUGAAUAUCUUGACAUUCGACCAUAUAUGUCUCAGCCAAACGGAGAACCGAUCAUUUAUGAUUUGUAUGCAGUACUGGUACACACUGGUUUUAAUUGCCAUGCUGGACAUUACUUCUGCUACAUAAAAGCUAGCAAUGGCUUCUGGUACCAAAUGAAUGACUCCAUCGUAUCUAUCAGUGAUAUUAGAUCGGUACUCAGUCAACAAGCUUAUGUUCUCUUUUAUAUCAGGUCCCACGAUGUGAAAAAUGGAGGUGAACUUACUCAUUCCGCCCAUAGCCCUGGCCAGUCCUCUCCCCAACCGGUGAUCAGCCAGCGGGUUGUCAGCAACACACAGGCAGCAUCCGGGUUUAUCGGACCACAGCUUCCUUCUCACCUGGUGAAGAACCCACCUCAUCUAAACGGGACGGGACCCUUGAAGGAAACGCCGAGCAGCUCCAUGUCAAGUCCUAACGGGAAUUCCAGUGUCGGUAGGACUGGCCCUGUUAACGCCUCAACAGUUCUAACGCCAGUUCAGAACUGGUCGGUUAACAGGCCCUCAUUUAUUCCAGAACAUCGCAAGAAAGAGAAAAUCACCAUCAAUAUUCACAAGUUACCUGUGCGCCAAGUUCAGUCUCAGCCUGCCCGUCACAGCAAUUCCCUGGAGAGCCCUAACAAGCCUGCCCCCUCGUCUACCAUCACCACUUCAGCACAGUCUACCUCGAGUGCCCCCAUCAUGCCCGCGUCGGGUAAGAUAACAAAGAAGAUCACCCUGAGGGCGUCCGGCCCUCAGCCUGUGAUGAACAGCAGGUCCAGGCUUAGCUCCGGCGUGCUGGUCCCCUACGGCGCCGAGUCGUCCGAAGAGUCCGACGAGGAGGCGAAGGGCCUCGGCAAGGAGAAUGGUCUCGGCCCCGCCGAGAGCGCACGCGCCCCUGCUCCAGUUGCCGAAGAUGUCGAGGCCUCUCCGCACGAGCUCCGAGAGCCUGUGGCUCUAAACAGUGCUAACAGUACGGACGGCGACCCGAAAGAAAACGGCCUGCCCUCGGGUGCUGCCCCCUGCCAAGUCCAGCCUGGUCUACUCUCAGAAAACCCCUUUUCUAAGGCAAACGGUCUCCCUGGGAAGUUGAUGCCUGCUCCUUUGCCACCUCUCCCAGAAGACAAAAUCUUAGACACCUUCAAACUCGGCCGCAAAGGGAAAGGCUCCACAGAUGAGAUGAGUACCACUGGGACAGAGGAGAGGCCUCCGCAGGACCCCGAGGCUGAGCUGGAGGCUGGCAGCUGCGCUCCCGAUUCCCUUGAGAACCUGGAGCUGAUCACGAGCAAAUUCAAGAAGCUUUUGUUACCCUCGGACCCCAGCAUCAAACCUACCCAAGAAGUCGUCUCUGAAAACAUUUUGGCAAAACCCGAGGAGGCUUUGCCGAGCAUGAACACCUUUUAUAACACCAACAAGGAUACCCUGGGGGAUGAUCAGCUUCCUAAACCGUGUGACCCUGGGAACGAUCAGAGCAAACCGUCCCAGGACGUGAAAGGGGCAUUACCAGAGCGUCCCCAAGACCCGGCGGCAGCAGAAGCAGCGGGGAGGCUGAGCCCGAGUCCCUUAUCACGUACCGAGGGCGACUGUGAGCCUGAGCCCUUGGGUCACAGCAGUCGGGACAGAGGCACGGAUGUGGAGGGUCCCCCUAAAAGCACAGGGGUGUCCGCAGAUGGGGUGCCCUCUCCACAAUUAGGCUGGAUUGCAGAAAACCGUCCAGAGGGGGUCCCCGAGCAAAGUAACGGUGAGAGAGGUGAAGACAGUAAGGCCGGGCAGAAGGUCCAGGAGGCUUGUUCAGUGCAGGAAAAAAUCAGCAGCCUCAGAAAGGUUGACCGAGGACAUUAUCGCAGCCGAAGAGACCGAUCGUCCAGCAGCGAGCACGCACAGGACAGCAGGAGCAGGACGGAGGAGAAGCCUCGCCGGAAGCGGUCCCACCACGAGUGGGAGCAGUCCCGGUCCGAGCGGCCCCAGCCCGAGCCCUGUGCCGCGGCCCCGCAUGCCCCCUGCCCCGGAUCCCUGGCCAGGUCUGGCCACCUGCACUCCCGGAGCAUGGGGGCCCUCGACCAGGAGUGGGGCCGCUACCACCACGCUGAGGCCGAGCACGCCUGGACCCGGGAGAAGUACUACCCGGAUGGGAUGCGCUGGGGGCGGUGCGGGUACCACCACAACAGGUACGCCCUGUACCCGGCCCGCGAGCCGUGGGAGUGGAGGCCUUUCCAUGCCGAGCGAGAGUACGACCGAGCCGGGCCCUACGGUGGCCGGCCCCACAAGGACCACUACAGAGGCCGGAAGGGCUACGAGCCGGCGGCCAAAGAGAGGGACCGGCACCGCGUCAGCAGCCCCCGGACGGGCCUGGCCCACGCGCCCCCUCCGCACCCUGCUGACAAGUACGCCCACGACAAGGCUGCACUAGGGGCUGAAGCCAGAAGCUGCGACCUUGCCGGUCAGUUUCAAGAACACAAAAACGUCAAGUCACGAAAACGGAGGUACAGUGGUGCAGAGGAUAAUGACAGCCAUGUAGAAAAGAAAGCCUGGAGAAGCUUACAAAAGGCUCCUUUAGAGGAGCCUAAAGUGAAGAGGCACAAAAAAUCAAAGAAGAAAAAGAAAUCCAAAGGCAAACACCGAGACCGGGAUUCCAGGCAUCAGCAGGACUCAGACCUUUCGGUAGCGCACUCUAAUGGUGACCUCCACAGACACAAGAAGAAAAAGAAGAAGAAGAAGAGGCACUCAAGGAAAUCAGAGGACUUGGUUAGAGAUUCAGAGCCACACUUGCCCAAGGCUGCCAGCUGUGAGACUGUGGACCAUUUCCAGAGAGCGGUCAGCGCUUUCCCCCUCACAGACAGCCAGCCUCUGGACGGUGUGGGACCUUGCCGUGAGAAAACAAAACAUUUCUGGAUGGAAACCAGGGAUGACAAGUGUCAUCUGUCUGAGUGUGACCAGGGUAAGAGGACAUACUUGGAACUGCGAAUAUAGAAACUCUUUUCUUUGGAAAGGGUGGUUAACACAGGGAAGGAGCCUCAAAGGGCGUAGAAGGUGUAAGUCCCCUCUGAGCUCCCCGCCCUGUGUCCUCUGCCCGACGGCUGGCCCGAGGCUGCUGUGGCCGGUCUCGACGGUUAACCGUGCUGCCGCAGCGCUUACUGGAGACCUGAGUCAUGUGGAACCGGGAACCUCUGGAAUUGAUGGCUCUGAGUGUCUGAUUGUGGACCAGAACUUCUGUUUUUAAGCCAUUUUUGAUAGAAAUGUUGUGGUACAUUCUUUCUCUCCAGAAUCCUUAAGCCUUUGGCAUUGUGAGUAGAACCUAGAACUCAGUUUGGUGACUGGCUCGCUGGACGUCAUGCUUCAGGCCUGGGUUGGUGAAGCUCAGGCUCCUGACGGGGUUCCCUGGGUCACUGCAGGCCUCUGGGCUCUGGGAUUCUUGUCUGCUUUGCACAGUUCUGCCUUCCCUUGUAACUUCCCAGCCUUUUCUACUCUGAUUGCUCUGAAAGCAGAGCCCCCCUUGCUUCCUCACCUGUUCCGAUGACCUUCGACCCUGGAAGGAGUGCUGAGCGUUUUUGAGGGGGCCGGGGGCCUAGGACAGGGCUGGACUGGCCGCCGCCUUUGCGCGGCCUGACGGUAAGGAAGGAUUUGACGUUUUUAAAUGGUUGGAAGAGUUAAAAGAAGAACAUUUCAUUUCACAUGAAAAUCGUGUGGAAUUGAGGUGUCAGUAGAGCCGCAAGGAACCCAGCCCAGCCCGCCCGUCUGCUCGUCCACGGGGACAGGUGUGUUGGCCUCGCCCUGGACCCCUGAGGCGCACCCUCGCGACCCUGCCCGCUGUCCUAGAUGCCCAGGGGCCACAGGGUUCUCGACUGCAUCCUGGACCCGGGUGAUUGAAAAUGUGGCCUCAAAACAAAAAAUUCACUAGUUACGGUUCAAUGUGUUCAACAGAAGCCAUCCCCAACCCAGAUUAAAUCCUGAUUAAAUUAUAAAUAUAGAGAAAAUAACUGUUCAAAUCUGCGUGGUGCUUCUUUAGUAAAUACUGUACAGAUUUUACCAUGGAGGACUUUUUUUUUUAGUUUUUACCUUUUCUUAAUUACCCUUAUUCCAAAUGGAUGGACACUUUCUACAACUGCUGACCAUUGUAAAAUACGGUGUAUAUAAAUCACAUUGAAAAUAACGCCCUGGACUAGAACAUCUCAAAUGCUGCUUAAUCACAGACUCAGGUUGAUCACUCGUAUUCCAUGUAAUGCUCCUCCAAGUUAGACAUCCGGUGCAAGACCGACCGGGAAACCAUGGAAUUAUUAAAAGUACAAACUGACAGCGUGUAUAUUUAAUUUAAAAACUUAUUUAAAGAUUCACAAGCUCUCAACUAGACUUUUGAGAGCAGUCUGUUUUCUGUAAUGUCUGAUACUAGAAACUAAUUUGCUUCAUAUUUUAGUUGUAUUCAAGAUUUGAAGAUUUUAUAGACAAGUUCUGUUUUUGAACUUUGUGGAACUAUUCCAAUCAAUUUACCAGUUAUGAUGAGUAUUUACAUUAUGAAUGUAUAAUCCGAACAUUAUUUGUAAGGCCUACAGUAUGUUUUUAUUACAUAACACUUUUUUAUACAGUGUCUCUUGUCUUGACUAUGAUAUUGGAGUCUGAGUUGUCAGCUUGGUCCCUUAAAGUUUCUAGUUACAGACAAAAAUCAUACUGUGAUUUUAUUUUUAAUAUGGAUAUGCUAUCAAACUGUGAUACACUUAUAAUUCACUGGUCCUGCAUCAGGAGUUGGAGUGGGGAAAACUGUAUUUAAUACAGUUUGUAUCUGAAUAAUCUGUAUGGUUUAUACAGUUUGUGUUGUUCAGAGACGUCUAAAGUUUGAUCUUUGUUUUUUUAAAGAUUAAAAAAGCACUUGCCCCACUGUAAAUAUACAGCAUGUAAAAUUUAUAUAGUAUAUAAA
Mesoplodon densirostris (Blainville's beaked whale) is the source of this 6018-nucleotide RNA transcript. It is a transcript of the gene named ubiquitin specific peptidase 42, with no coding region annotated. Lineage: Eukaryota; Metazoa; Chordata; Mammalia; Artiodactyla; Ziphiidae. The transcript is spliced from 18 exons. The record is from RefSeq and is a predicted model, not a curated record.